GGCCUGGUGGUGUGGCGGUAACACGGCUCCGCGCAAGAGCUAUGACCCGAGAAAGGAAAAGAGCUUCGCGCGGUAUUCCUGUUCGAACCAGGGCCAGGCCA
Non-coding RNA from Collybia nuda, 101 nucleotides. The record is from the annotation of a GenBank genome assembly. NCBI's taxonomy places the organism in Eukaryota, Fungi, Basidiomycota, Agaricomycetes, Agaricales, Clitocybaceae.